GAACACAAAAUGGCGACACGUGGUUAGCAUUCGUCGCCAACGAGAAAUUGGGGUCGGCCCGAAAGCUCUAGAAUGCACCCCUCUUCCUCCCCGGGGCCUUCCACCUCCGCGAGUUUUAUGACUUAAAAAAGCCCACAGGCUGGUCUGAAGGUCGGAGGCCUAAUUUUAACGCGUUUUCCUCCCUUUAAUUUGAAACGGGAACGCGAAUGACUGUAAAAUAGGAAGACAAACAUAAAGAUGAAGUGCUUAAUUCAAGGUCACACAAUGUCGGGGAUGGACCUCCAGAUUUCCUUACUGGUGAGACGUGGUCUUGUAACACAGUGGUUAAGAAUGUGACUUUGGAGCCAGCCUGCUAGGGGCUGAAUUCUGACUCAGCCAUUUACUAACUGUGUGACCUUAGGGAGGAGGACCUGGUUGAUAGAAGAAUUUAUCUCGUAGUCUUAACAUCCACUGUAAUUCCAAACUUUGAGGACGAUAGAGAUCAGUGGGCUUUGACUGCCCAGCAUGCAGUCUCCAUUCUUAGGUGGGUUCCCAAGCCUGUAAAAUGUAAGCCUUAUGCUGCUGAGGGCCAUCUUGCCACCCUGAGGGAAACGCUGCCUGAGAAUGAAACAAGCAUAAGUAAAAGCUGAGCUGUGAGAUGGAGCAAGAUGAAGGCCACAUGACAUCUUUGGAGCACCUGGAUCUAACUGUGCCUUAAGCUAGUCUAACCCUGAACAUUUCAUCAUUUCAUUGACAUGAGCCCAGGUUUUCUUUUUUUUUGGAUGGAGUCUUGCUCUGUCGCCCAGGCUGGAGUGCAGUAGCUCAAUCUCGGCUCACUGCAAGCUCCACCUCCCGGGUUCACGCCAUUCUCCUGCCUUAGCCUCCCAAGUAGCUGGGACAACAGGCGCCCACCACCACUCCCAGCUAAUUUUUUGUAUUUUUAGUAGAGACGGGGUUUUACCAUGUUAGCCGGGAUGGUCUUGAUCUCCUGACCUCAUGAUCCGCCCGCCUCGGCCUCCCAAAGUGCUGGGAUUACAGGUGUGAGCCACUGCACCCAGCCCUCAGGUUUUCCCUUUUUUUACCCCUCCUUUUGAAAAUUUGAUGUGGAAUUUUGCCACCUGCAGCCAGAAGAGUUUUAACUAAUCAGUGCCAUAAAUUUUAUAUAGUUCUCCUUGCAAAAUGUGGAUCAGCCUUUCUCAGCAAAUCCUUUGUCAUAAAGUGCUGAAUUGUAAGUUUGUCAUGAGAAUCACAUGAGAUCAUGCAUGUGAAGAACCUGGCAUUAUCCUCCUCAUAGAAAAAAACCAGUAAAUAUUAACUACAGGAAGCAAGGAAGGAGUGGGGUGAGGGGAAGAAGAAGGGGUACUGAUUUAAAAGAACCCUGGAGUCCUAAGGAUAAUCUAGGAACCCUCAGACCCAAUCCGAUACCCCUAUUCUAAAUGCUCCUAGUGCCCUGUACCUUCCCCUCAUAAGCCUUCAUUAUCAUUGUAAUGAUAUGUUUAUGUAAUAUUUUGAUUAAUGUCUCUCCUUCACUGACCUAGCAGUUCUAGCAGGGCAGUGAUUUUGCUGUGUUGCAUCCCCAGCACCUAGUCUGGUAUGUGGCAUUCAGCAUAUGUUUAUUGAAUGAAUGGCCAUGUGGUUAUUCAGAUCCUCCUUGAUUAUUGGGGUUAGGAUUGUGGCAGAAGUGGCAAAAUCAGGGAGAGUAGUCCCUGUCCCCUCUGUAUCUUAUACACUGCCCACACUCCCAACACACAUACACAUACAGAGAAUUUUGUCUCAAUUAGAUAAUUAACUUCUGCUUGGUUGUAAACCAAACCACUGGUUCUUAAACUUUCAUUGGAUCAUUUUAUUGAAGAAUUAAAUAGUGUGGUUCUGGCCUAAUGUCUGGAAAGCCUUGCAGAGGAGUGGAUUAGGUCUUUGUGAUAAACAGGCAGCCUUCCCUGCUCCUGUGUCUUUAUAAAAUCUAUUUAACUGGAGUAGUCCACCCUCCCUCAGGCUCUUACAGGAAUAUGUUGGAGGCUGUAGGAAGGUGGGAAACCGAGAGGGAAAGGACUGGGCCGCUGGAGACUUCACUCAUUCCCUAGCAAGAAACAAAAGCAGUAAAAGGUGGCCCGAGGACAACCUGAAGCUCACUCCUUCAGCACUUUUGGCUGGAGGUCACUUGUUGGAGCCCCACUCAGAGCUCAGCACACCACCCCACCAGCAGCCUCCUCCUCCCAGCUGAGGCUGCAUUUCAUCCCUUCCCCCAGCCUGCUUUCCCUGAGAUAGGGGAGUGUUUCCCAGGGCCCAUGUGACUUCCACUGGCAAGUGACGAUUACCAAUGGUUUACUAGUCAGUGAAACUACCAAAGGCUUUUGUGCUGUAGUAAUCCUUUUCCUGUUUAAAACUCUGGGGAUUUUCUAAUGUUGCCAAUAGUUUUUCAAGUCAGCAAUUACUGUGUGGAUUAUGUAAUGGCUCGGUAUUAAAAAUAGAAAAGACUGG
Molecule: long non-coding RNA, 2457 nt
Filed under: Homo sapiens (human)
Lineage: Eukaryota; Metazoa; Chordata; Mammalia; Primates; Hominidae
Description: PCBP1 antisense RNA 1
Source: RNAcentral